CACUAAGACCAACUAGGACGGUCAUCAGUAUACGAACAGAGUUUCUGAUUCGGUACGUACAGAUUCAUAUUUACAAUAUGUCACUUUGACGCUUACCGAGUAAUUUUGUCAAUAUCAAAUAAACUAUUAGCUUAAAUGUACCUAUUGGCACCAUUAAGAUCUCGAUUAUGUACGACCAAUCGGACUGAAAACUCCUUCCCGACAUAAAUAAUCUAUUGUUUGGUUAUAAGGAACACAGAUAACACUACUGAGUAUUAUUGACUAGCUUAGCGUACCUGAAACAGGCGCUAUUUAGUAAGUUCAAAGACGGGGUAGUCGAAAGCUACCAUCACAUAACCUGAUGGUACCGAAAUUGCCCAUUGCCUCCUAAUCCCAAGCUAAGGCCUCUCCCUCGGACUCUUUGCCGAUGGUGUAGAUUCCUUCCGUCGUCCGCGCAUUUAAUGGGUUAGGACUGAGUCCCUCCAUCACUGUUCUUUAUUGCCUGGCUUCGGAUACAAAGCCCUAACGUUACUCAACUUAAAUUUGGGGAAAUGCUCCUAGUUAACCUCCCGUUCAGACCA
RNAcentral lists this ribosomal RNA (560 nucleotides) under uncultured eukaryote. RNAcentral describes it as "partial 18S rRNA". The record is from RNAcentral.